Roseburia sp. CAG:45 is the source of this 164-nucleotide regulatory RNA element. The record is from Rfam. Lineage: Bacteria; Bacillati; Bacillota; Clostridia; Lachnospirales; Lachnospiraceae.
UAAUAAAGGCUGUUAGGGGCACUUGGAAUUUUGUCUGGCAACAGGCAACGCUGGCACAGGGAUGUGCCAGCGAGGCGCAUUUGAACAUGGAUGUGAAUUUGCGCCGGUUGCCGGAAUGGAUACUAUUUGAAGAAAAUUCUUAGUGCCCCUUGCAAGAUAAUGUG